RNAcentral lists this small RNA (99 nucleotides) under Oceanobacillus oncorhynchi. RNAcentral's name for it is "Bacillaceae-1 RNA". It matches the Rfam family "Bacillaceae-1 RNA". Lineage: Bacteria; Bacillati; Bacillota; Bacilli; Caryophanales; Bacillaceae. The record is from Rfam by way of RNAcentral.
AAUUAAGGAAGCAGACUAAGUUCGCGACGUCCUGGGGUUGCGAUUACUCACCCCACCGAAAACAUUUGUCGCAACGUCUGCACUAGCACAUCCUGGGAC